GUAACAGCAGCUUUCAGACUCAGAGCAAUGACAGAGGAGAGGAAGUCCAGGAGUUUCUCUUCUUCUACACAGACCUGGUCUAGACAGCAGAACUGAGGAGGGAAGCAUGGGAAGACGAUGAAUGAAGGUGGAAGGUGUGUGAGCUGAUGUGAAGUGAGCAGCAUGGAUCAGUGUGAGGACAGAGAGGACAGAGUCCCUCCCUCUAAAACCACUCUGGGUGGAGAACAUGAGGACCAGAGCAAAGAUCAGAGGAAACCAGCAGAACCAGAACCUGAUUCUGGAGCAGAAUCUGAUUCCUCUUGUGAAUCCUUUAAAAGUGCUUUUUCAGAGAUCAGUGCUUUUUCAGAGAUCAGAUCAGAUUCAACCCAAAAUUCAUGUACUGAAAGG
This is a long non-coding RNA of Cyprinodon tularosa, 387 nucleotides long. RefSeq lists it as uncharacterized. The record is from RefSeq and is a predicted model, not a curated record. NCBI's taxonomy places the organism in Eukaryota, Metazoa, Chordata, Actinopteri, Cyprinodontiformes, Cyprinodontidae. The transcript has 3 exons.